RNAcentral lists this ribosomal RNA (497 nucleotides) under uncultured bacterium. Its description in RNAcentral is "partial 16S ribosomal RNA". It matches the Rfam family "Bacterial small subunit ribosomal RNA", at positions 28 to 507 of the family's 1533-position model. The record is from RNAcentral.
GAUGAACGCUGGCGGCGUGCCUAAUACAUGCAAGUCGAGCGAACAGACGAGGAGCUUGCUCCUCUGACGUUAGCGGCGGACGGGUGAGUAACACGUGGAUAACCUACCUAUAAGACUGGGAUAACUUCGGGAAACCGGAGCUAAUACCGGAUAAUAUAUUGAACCGCAUGGUUCAAUAGUGAAAGACGGUUUUGCUGUCACUUAUAGAUGGAUCCGCGCCGCAUUAGCUAGUUGGUAAGGUAACGGCUUACCAAGGCGACGAUGCGUAGCCGACCUGAGAGGGUGAUCGGCCACCCUGGAAUUGAGACACGGUCCAGACUCCUACGGGAGGCAGCAGUAGGGAAUCUUCCGCAAUGGGCGAAAGCUUGACGGAGCAACGCCGCGUGAGUGAUGAAGGUCUUCGGAUCGUAAAACUCUGUUAUUAGGGAAGAACAAAUGUGUAAGUAACUAUGCACGUCUUGACGGUACCUAAUCAGAAAGCCACGGCUAACUACGUG